This 301-nucleotide ribosomal RNA is filed under the name uncultured bacterium. RNAcentral's name for it is "partial 16S ribosomal RNA". It matches the Rfam family "Bacterial small subunit ribosomal RNA", at positions 509 to 807 of the family's 1533-position model. The record is from RNAcentral.
CAGCAGCCACGGUAAUACGGAGGGAGCUAGCGUUGUUCGGAAUUACUGGGCGUAAAGCGCGCGUAGGCGGUUACUCAAGUCAGAGGUGAAAGCCCGGGGCUCAACACCGGAACUGCCUUUGAAACUAGGUGACUAGAAUCUUGGAGAGGUCAGUGGAAUUCCGAGUGUAGAGGUGAAAUUCGUAGAUAUUCGGAAGAACACCAGUGGCGAAGGCGGCUCACUGGACGCGUAUUGACGCUGAGGUGCGAAAGCGUGGGGAGCAAACAGGAUUAGAUACCCCAGUAGUCCCUGUCUCUUAUAC